RNAcentral lists this ribosomal RNA (434 nucleotides) under uncultured bacterium. RNAcentral's name for it is "partial 16S ribosomal RNA". It matches the Rfam family "Bacterial small subunit ribosomal RNA", at positions 29 to 507 of the family's 1533-position model. The record is from RNAcentral.
AGCGAACGCUGGCGGCAGGCCUAACACAUGCAAGUCGAACGAACCUUUCGGGGUUAGUGGCGGACGGGUGAGUAACACGUGGGAACGUGCCUUUAGGUUCGGAAUAACUCAGGGAAACUUGUGCUAAUACCGAAUGUGCCCUUCGGGGGAAAGAUUUAUCGCCUUUAGAGCGGCCCGCGUCUGAUUAGCUAGUUGGGUGAGGUAAUGGCUCACCAAGGCGACGAUCAGUAGCUGGUCUGAGAGGAUGAUCAGCCACAUUGGGACUGAGACACGGCCCAAACUCCUACGGGAGGCAGCAGUGGGGAAUCUUGCGCAAUGGGCGAAAGCCUGACGCAGCCAUGCCGCGUGAAUGAUGAAGGUCUUAGGAUUGUAAAAUUCUUUCACCGGGGACGAUAAUGACGGUACCCGGAGAAGAAGCCCCGGCUAACUUCGUG